GAUGAAGAACGUAGCGAAAUGCGAUACGUAGUGUGAAUUGCAGAAUUCCGUGAACCAUCAAAUCUUUGAACGCAUAUUGCGCUCGAGGCUUCGGCCGAGAGCAUGUCUGCCUCAGCGUCGGUAUUACCCCUCGCUUCUCAACCCCUGGUUGAUGCCUGCCUGCCUUUGCAGUUGGCUAGAAGCGGAUCUGGCUUUCCCAAUUGCCUUUGGUAGUUGGGUCAGCUGAAGCACAGAGGCUUGAGCAAGGACCCUUAUUGGGCUUCAACUGGAUAGGUAGAACUGGUCUUAGGACCAACUACACGAAGUUGUUGCUUGUGGUCUUUGUUUGGAGGCCAGCAGGAAACCUUUAUACCUUCGACCUGAGCUCAGGCAAGAUUACCCGCUGAACUUAAGCAUAUCAAUAAGCGGAGGA
RNAcentral lists this unclassified non-coding RNA (412 nucleotides) under soil metagenome. RNAcentral describes it as "partial contains 5.8S ribosomal RNA, internal transcribed spacer 2, and large subunit ribosomal RNA". The stretch from base 1 to 120 matches the Rfam family "5.8S ribosomal RNA", at positions 35 to 154 of the family's 154-position model. The record is from RNAcentral.